GCGAGUGGCGAACGGGUGAGUAACAUAUCGGAACGUGCCCUGGAGUGGGGGAUAACUAGUCGAAAGAUUAGCUAAUACCGCAUACGAUCUACGGAUGAAAGUGGGGGAUCGCAAGACCUCAUGCUCGUGGAGCGGCCGAUAUCUGAUUAGCUAGUUGGUGGGGUAAAGGCCUACCAAGGCAUCGAUCAGUAGCUGGUCUGAGAGGACGACCAGCCACACUGGAACUGAGACACGGUCCAGACUCCUACGGGAGGCAGCAGUGGGGAAUUUUGGACAAUGGGCGCAAGCCUGAUCCAGCAAUGCCGCGUGAGUGAAGAAGGCCUUCGGGUUGUAAAGCUCUUUUGUCAGGGAAGAAACGGUUGAGGCUAAUAUCCUUUACUAAUGACGGUACCUGAAGAAUAAGCACCGGCUAACUACGUGCCAGCAGCCGCGGUAAUACGUAGGGUGCAAGCGUUAAUCGGAAUUACUGGGCGUAAAGCGUGCGCAG
RNAcentral lists this ribosomal RNA (487 nucleotides) under uncultured Oxalobacteraceae bacterium. RNAcentral describes it as "bacterial SSU rRNA". It matches the Rfam family "Bacterial small subunit ribosomal RNA", at positions 91 to 574 of the family's 1533-position model. Lineage: Bacteria; Pseudomonadati; Pseudomonadota; Betaproteobacteria; Burkholderiales; Oxalobacteraceae. The record is from RNAcentral.